RNAcentral lists this ribosomal RNA (653 nucleotides) under uncultured bacterium. Its description in RNAcentral is "bacterial SSU rRNA". It matches the Rfam family "Bacterial small subunit ribosomal RNA", at positions 1 to 705 of the family's 1533-position model. The record is from RNAcentral.
UAGAGUUUGAUCAUGGCUCAGAACGUACGCUGGCGGCACGCCUAACACAUGCAAGUCGAACGAAGUAGCAAUACUUAGUGGCAGACGGGUGAGUAACAUGUAGGUAUCUGCCCUUUGGCCUGGAAUAACACGAGGAAACUUGUGCUAAUACCGGAUAAGUCUUUACGGAGAAAGCUUUAUGCACCAUUGGAUGAGCCUGCACUUGAUUAGUUUGUUGGUGGGGUAAUGGCCUACCAAGACUAUGAUCAAUAGCUGAUUUGAGAGGAUGAUCAGCCACAUUGGGACUGAGACGCGGCCCAAACUCCUACGGGAGGCAGCAGUGGGGAAUCUUGCACAAUGGAGGAAACUCUGAUGCAGCGAUGCCGCGUGAGUGAAGAAGGCCCUUGGGUUGUAAAGCUCUUUCGUCGGGGAAGAAAAUGACUGUACCCGAAUAAGAAGGUCCGGCUAACUUCGUGCCAGCAGCCGCGGUAAUACGAAGGGACCUAGCGUAGUUCGGAAUUACUGGGCUUAAAGAGUUCGUAGGUGGUUGAAAAAGUUGGUGGUGAAAUCCCAGAGCUUAACUCUGGAACUGCCAUCAAAACUUUUCAGCUAGAGUAUGAUAGAGGAAAGCAGAAUUUCUAGUGUAGAGGUGAAAUUCGUAGAUAUUAGAAAGA